This 1097-nucleotide unclassified non-coding RNA is filed under the name uncultured fungus. RNAcentral's name for it is "sequence contains 18S rRNA gene, ITS1, 5.8S rRNA gene, ITS2, 28S rRNA gene". The record is from RNAcentral. Lineage: Eukaryota; Fungi.
AACGGCUCCUUGACGAGGGCUCCUUCGUGGCGUCCUACAAGUUCGCGCUACUGCUCGCGCUGGCCGACCUGUCCAUCGAACACGGCAGCGAUUCGGGCGCGCCGCUGUCCGUCGAUACCACUGCGAUCGCCGAGAAGUUCAUCCAUUAUUACUGGCCUCAGGUGCUGCCAUACCCGUCGCCCGUUAACCCGAGGGUGCUCAAGCAGAACACCGACAAGCAGGCCGCCAUCGUGAACGCCGUGCUCGCCGCGCGUAUGGCGUACGGCGACUCCUUGGCGGGCGCAAUGAGAGACGUGACCGCAUGGAGGCGGCUGGUAGCCAAGAUCGCCAGGGUAGUCGUGGUCAUGCCCCUGUGGAAGCUCCAGACUGUCGGCGGCGAGCGACUCGACUUCCUGUACGGUCAGACCGGCGACGCGCGGGCGGUGGAACUCCGCCCCGGCGUCGCAUUCUGCUUCCGCAAGUUUCACGCGCUUAUCACCGACAUCGUGCGCGGUGCAUGGCUGCGGUACGUACGCCAACAGAACCUCGAUGUGGUUGGCGAGACAGCAGACCUGAACGAGUUCUUGUUCGGCAGCGAGCGCAACAGCCUCGCAGCCGUGCGGCCGGUGCUCCUGGAUAUCCAGCGGGGCCGGUGCUUCUACUGCGAGCGCGACAUCCUGCGGGGCUUGCCCACGUGGAUCACUUCAUCGCGUGGUCCCGUUACCCGACCGACUUGGGCCACAACUUCGUGCUCGCCGAUGAACACUGUAACGGCAAGAAGCGAGAUCGGCUCCCCGCUGUCGAGCAUCUGGCGCGCUGGACGGAGCGGAACCGGGAGUACGGCGCGCAGAUCGCGACCGAACUGACCAUGCACGGAGUCGUAACGGAACUGGCCGCGUCGAACCAGGUGACGCAGUGGGCAUACGGGCAGGCAGAAGCCGCGAGCGCGCUCACUUGGGUUCGCGGCGAUGAGAUGGUGCCGCUGGCGGCGGGGUGGCGGGACUCCAUCUAGUAGGACACACGGCAGGGCCCGGACAGACAAAACCAACUGCAUGACCUCGGGCGGGAAGUUCAGAACGGCACUUCGUCAAUAGUGGUAUCCACGUCGAUAGCGGAGU